RNAcentral lists this ribosomal RNA (428 nucleotides) under uncultured bacterium. Its description in RNAcentral is "partial 16S ribosomal RNA". It matches the Rfam family "Bacterial small subunit ribosomal RNA", at positions 354 to 796 of the family's 1533-position model. The record is from RNAcentral.
GUCGAGAAUCUUCCGCAAUGCGCGAAAGCGUGACGGAGCGACACCGCGUGAUGGAUGAAGUCCUUCGGUGCGUAAACAUCUUUUAUAAAGGAGGAAAUUUUUGACGUUACUUUAUGAAUAAGGGGCUCCCAAUCUCGUGCCAGCAGGAGCGGUAAUACGAGAGCCUCAAGCGUUAUCCGGAAUCAUUGGGCGUAAAGGGUGCGUAGGUGGUUUGAUUAGUCUCCCGUUAAAACUUCGAGCUUAACUCGAAAAGAGCGGGGGAAACGGUCAAACUAGAGUAUGUGAGAGGUGUGUGGAACUCAUGGUGUAGGGGUGAAAUCCGUUGAUAUCAUGGGGAACACCAAAAGCGAAGGCAGCACACUGGCACAUCACUGACACUGAGGCACGAAACCUAAGGUAGCGAAUGGGAUUAGAAACCCGGGUAGUCC